Molecule: ribosomal RNA, 97 nt
Filed under: Chlorocebus sabaeus (green monkey)
Lineage: Eukaryota; Metazoa; Chordata; Mammalia; Primates; Cercopithecidae
Source: RNAcentral
AUCUACAGCCAUACCACCCUGAACACGCCUGAUCGCAUCUGAUGUCGGAAAAAUAAAUCAUUAGCUGGGUGGGGGGGAUGGUGCAUACCUGUAGUCC